RNAcentral lists this transfer RNA (74 nucleotides) under Cyanobacteriota bacterium. RNAcentral describes it as "Cyanobacteria bacterium tRNA-Val". It matches the Rfam family "tRNA". From Rfam's summary of the family: Transfer RNA (tRNA) molecules are approximately 80 nucleotides in length. Their secondary structure includes four short double-helical elements and three loops (D, anti-codon, and T loops). The record is from RNAcentral. Lineage: Bacteria; Bacillati; Cyanobacteriota. RNAcentral also lists the same sequence under 1 other name.
GGACGUAUAGCUCAGUUGGUUAGAGUACUACAUUGACAUUGUAGGGGUCACUGGUUCGAAUCCAGUUACGUCCA